Small nucleolar RNA from Lotus japonicus, 107 nucleotides. NCBI's taxonomy places the organism in Eukaryota, Viridiplantae, Streptophyta, Magnoliopsida, Fabales, Fabaceae. The record is from RefSeq and is a predicted model, not a curated record.
AAACCAUGGUGUGGGCAUAUCUGAAGAAAUUUUUUGAAUCUCUCUUGUGCUUCAAAUAAAGUUUCAUCUUGCUUUUAGUAGAAAUCCACAAUUAAUCUUCUUAUUUU